GUCUCAAACUAAUUGAACAAAAAUAUAUUUACAUCACUUGCUAGAAAAAAUUCCAACUUGGACAACAUGUAUAAUCAAAACAUUGAAAAUCCCGGCAUUGCAGGAACUGUGGAAAACACAUCUGUGGGAGUAACUAGAGGACCAUAAAUAUCACCCAAUUUUUAGAGUGAUCCAUCACUAAUCCUAAUAAAUUUGCUGCAACAAACUAAAAUAAUGCAUCAAAAGUAAAUGAUGGCGAGGGAUUAUCAUGGUAGUUUAAGAUCCAGCAGUCCAUUCUUACCGAUAACAAAUCCAUCUGCAAGAAGAAAACCCACCAAGUUCGAAGACAAAUAGAUGAUAAAACCAAUGUAUCUGAUUAUUUUUGGUAAAAAAAGCCUUCAUCAUAUGUAAGAAAGUUUAUCACAUGUGACGCCACCGGAGCCCAACAUAUAAGAAGGCUUCAACAGAUAGCAACAUUCGAAUCUCCGUUCUUAAUUGACAAUCAUCAGGCUUGUACCAAAAGAAAAGGUAAAAAAUAGCUGCAAAAAGAUGAUAAUGGAGGAAGUAAAAAAAUAUCCCACACGAGAGAGCAACAGAUCAAACUAAAAU
RNAcentral lists this unclassified non-coding RNA (588 nucleotides) under Hevea brasiliensis (rubber tree). The record is from RNAcentral. Lineage: Eukaryota; Viridiplantae; Streptophyta; Magnoliopsida; Malpighiales; Euphorbiaceae.